Molecule: ribosomal RNA, 438 nt
Filed under: Sphingobium sp. S22
Lineage: Bacteria; Pseudomonadati; Pseudomonadota; Alphaproteobacteria; Sphingomonadales; Sphingobiaceae
Description: bacterial SSU rRNA
Rfam family: Bacterial small subunit ribosomal RNA
Source: RNAcentral
UUUGAUCCUGGCUCAGAACGAACGCUGGCGGCAUGCCUAAUACAUGCAAGUCGAACGAAGGCUUCGGCCUUAGUGGCGCACGGGUGCGUAACGCGUGGGAAUCUGCCCUUGGGUUCGGAAUAACGUCUGGAAACGGACGCUAAUACCGGAUGAUGACGUAAGUCCAAAGAUUUAUCGCCCAGGGAUGAGCCCGCGUAGGAUUAGCUAGUUGGUGAGGUAAAGGCUCACCAAGGCGACGAUCCUUAGCUGGUCUGAGAGGAUGAUCAGCCACACUGGGACUGAGACACGGCCCAGACUCCUACGGGAGGCAGCAGUAGGGAAUAUUGGACAAUGGGCGAAAGCCUGAUCCAGCAAUGCCGCGUGAGUGAUGAAGGCCUUAGGGUUGUAAAGCUCUUUUACCCGGGAUGAUAAUGACAGUACCGGGAGAAUAAGCCCCGU